GACUCACGCACUCGUUCAAGCUUAAUAUAGAGUCAAAGAACAACUAUCAGCUUAAAUAAGAAAUACUUAGAAUAUACAUGUGACGCCCCUACUUCUCCCUAAGGCAAACCAAAGGGUAUCCGCAGGACGCCUGCUCAGUUCUCGCCAAGACUCGGUACAAUUUCCGUUCAACCUUAAUAUAAUAGUAUCUAAAACGAUAAGGCAAAGUAGAGGAGUGCGGAAACUUCUAUAAAUUAUCCAAUCUCACACCACAAGUUCACAAUACAUAAGUUAUCCAACCCUUACAGCAGGAUUUCCAAAGAUACAUUCAAUCCCAAAAUAUGCAACAGCUAAGAGUCUAGUCAAAUGUAUUUGGAACCUAAUACAAGAAUACUUUAAGAGGGGGUUCCUCCGAGUUCCACUUCAUCCAUCCCUGUUAAGGAAAACAAAUCUAUGGGGAGAGCAAAACACUCAUGAGGCCAAGAACACGCAUACAAGCACGUUGUUCAGAUAACAAUCCCAAUUUAACAAGUAAAGCAAUAAUAUUUCAAUGAAUAGCACUUUAACCGAGAAAAGUAAACAGAAACAAUUGAAGGAUACAGGAGCUCUCAGAAGCUAUUUUCCACUUGCACAAUCACGAACCUCCACGAGUUGAUACUCCAUCAACCGGGUAGGUUAUAGCCCGUAGAACUUCACUUACACGAUCCCCUUUCACCUUACAUGCCCCUGUAC
Molecule: long non-coding RNA, 711 nt
Filed under: Coffea arabica (coffee)
Lineage: Eukaryota; Viridiplantae; Streptophyta; Magnoliopsida; Gentianales; Rubiaceae
Description: long non-coding RNA (CARA_LNC007429)
Source: RNAcentral